UCCCUGGUGGCCCAGAGGUUAAAGUGUCUGCCUGCAAUUCAGGAGACCCAGGUUCAAUCCCUGGGUCGGGAA
Bos taurus (domestic cattle) is the source of this 72-nucleotide non-coding RNA. NCBI's taxonomy places the organism in Eukaryota, Metazoa, Chordata, Mammalia, Artiodactyla, Bovidae. The record is from Rfam.